RNAcentral lists this ribosomal RNA (551 nucleotides) under uncultured bacterium. RNAcentral describes it as "bacterial SSU rRNA". It matches the Rfam family "Bacterial small subunit ribosomal RNA", at positions 354 to 896 of the family's 1533-position model. The record is from RNAcentral.
UAGGGGAAUCUUCGGCAAUGGGGGCAACCCUGACCGAGCAACGCCGCGUGAGUGAAGAAGGUUUUCGGAUCGUAAAGCUCUGUUGUAAGAGAAGAACGAGUGUGAGAGUGGAAAGUUCACACUGUGACGGUAACUUACCAGAAAGGGACGGCUAACUACGUGCCAGCAGCCGCGGUAAUACGUAGGUCCCGAGCGUGAUCCGGAUUUAUUGGGCGUAAAGCGAGCGCAGGCGGUUAGAUAAGUCUGAAGUUAAAGGCUGUGGCUUAACCAUAGUACGCUUUGGAAACUGUUUAACUUGAGUGCAGAAGGGGAGAGUGGAAUUCCAUGUGUAGCGGUGAAAUGCGUAGAUAUAUGGAGGAACACCGGUGGCGAAAGCGGCUCUCUGGUCUGUAACUGACGCUGAGGCUCGAAAGCGUGGGGAGCAAACAGGAUUAGAUACCCUGGUAGUCCACGCCGUAAACGAUGAGUGCUAGGUGUUGGGUCCUUUCCGGGACUCAGUGCCGAAGCUAACGCAUUAAGCACUCCGCCUGGGGAGUACGACCGCAAGGUUG